This 253-nucleotide ribosomal RNA is filed under the name uncultured bacterium. Its description in RNAcentral is "partial 16S ribosomal RNA". It matches the Rfam family "Bacterial small subunit ribosomal RNA", at positions 524 to 776 of the family's 1533-position model. The record is from RNAcentral.
UACGUAGGGGGCAAGCGUUGUCCGGGAUUAUUGGGCGUAAAGAGCUCGUAGGCGGUUUGUCGCGUCUGCUGUGAAAACUCGAGGCUCAACCUCGGGCUUGCAGUGGGUACGGGCAGACUAGAGUGCGGUAGGGGUGACUGGAAUUCCUGGUGUAGCGGUGGAAUGCGCAGAUAUCAGGAGGAACACCGGUGGCGAAGGCGGAUCUCUGGGCCGUAACUGACGCUGAGGAGCGAAAGCAUGGGUAGCGAACAGG